AAAAAAAAAAGAGGUAAGAGCUUAAAAGGGCAGUGUUAAAAAUUAACAGGAUAGGUAGGCACUUCUGCUACUGCCCAGCGUGGGCCCUGGCCUAGGCUAUGGCUCAAUCCGGGAAGGCCCAAGGACUUAGAAAAAGAGAGGUAAGAGCUUAUUACAGGUGCAGUGCCCUGGGCCCAUGAACAGCACAGAUAGCUUAGGAGAAGACUGAUACUAUAUAAGAACAUGCUGGAAAGCCUCUCGGCAAACACAGUGGCAGACAUCUGCCCUUUGGAUGAUGCCUCUUGACUGUGAAGGCUGGUUCGCGGCCAUCCUCCCCAAUGUAUGAGCUGCUGGGGCAUGAGGCUACUCCAGGUUCAGUGCACAGA
This is a long non-coding RNA of Phyllostomus discolor (pale spear-nosed bat), 365 nucleotides long. RefSeq lists it as uncharacterized. The transcript has 2 exons. The record is from RefSeq and is a predicted model, not a curated record. Lineage: Eukaryota; Metazoa; Chordata; Mammalia; Chiroptera; Phyllostomidae.